CGGUUACCUUGUUACGACUUAACGAACGCUGGCGGCAGGCUUAACACAUGCAAGUCGAACGCCCUCUUCGGAGGGAGUGGCAGACGGGUGAGUAACACGUGGGAACCUACCUAGGGGUACGGAAUAACUCGGGGAAACUCGUGCUAAUACCGUAUACGACCUUCGGGUGAAAGAUUUAUCGCCCCUAGAUGGGCCCGCGCUGGAUUAGCUAGUUGGUGGGGUAAAAGCUCACCAAGGCGACGAUCCAUAGCUGGUCUGAGAGGAUGAUCAGCCACACUGGGACUGAGACACGGCCCAGACUCCUACGGGAGGCAGCAGUGGGGAAUCUUGGACAAUGGGCGCAAGCCUGAUCCAGCCAUGCCGCGUGAGUGAUGAAGGCCUUAGGGUUGUAAAGCUCUUUCGCCAGGGAAGAUAAUGACUGUACCUGGAUAAGAAGCCCCGGCUAACUCNGUGCCAGCAGCCGCNGGUNAAUACGGANGGGGGNCUAGCGUUGUUCGGNAAUUACUGGGCGUAAAGCGCACGUAGGCGGCUUUCCAAGUUGGGGGNUGAAAUCCCUGGGCUUAACCCAGGAACUGCCCUCAAAACUGGAAGGCUAGAGUCCGAGAGAGGUGAGUGGAAUUUCCAGUGUAGAGGUGAAAUUCGUAGAUAUUGGAAAGAACACCAGUGGCGAAGGCGGCUCACUGGCUCGGUACUGACGCUGAGGUGCGACAGCGUGGGGAGCAAACAGGAUUAGAUACCCUGGUAGUCCACGCCGUAAACGAUGGGUGCUAGUUNGUCAGGCAGCUUGCUGUUUGGUGACGCAGCUAACGCAUUAAGCACCCCGCCUGGGGNAGUACGGUCGCNAAGAUUAAAACUCAAAGGAAUUGACGGGGGNCCCGCACAAGCGGNUGGAGCAUGUGGUUUNAANUUCGAAGCAACGCGCAGAANCCUUACCNAACCCUUNGACAUCUGGGUCGCGGNNUUUCCAGAGAUGGAUUCCUUCAGUUCGGCUGGACCCAAGACAGGUGUUGCAUGGCUGUCGCCAGCUCGUGUCGUGAGAUGUUGGGUUAAGUCCCGCAACGAGCGCAACCCUCGCCUUUAGUUGCCAUCAUUAAGUUGGGCACUCUAGAGGGACUGCCGAUGAUAAGUCGGAGGAAGGUGGGGAUGACGUCAAGUCCUCAUGGCCCUUACGGGUUGGGCUACACACGUGCUACAAUGGCGGCGACAAUGGGCAGCGAAGGGGCGACCCGGUGCAAAUCCCAAAAAGCCGUCUCAGUUCGGAUUGUACUCUGCAACUCGAGUGCAUGAAGGUGGAAUCGCUAGUAAUCGCGUAACAGCAUGACGCGGUGAAUACGUUCCCGGGCCUUGUACACACCGCCCGUCACACCAUGGGAGUUGGUUUUACCCGAAGCCGGUGCGCUAACCGCAAGGAGGCAGCCGACCACGGUAAGGUCAGCGACUGGGGUGCUGAGCCAGGAUCAAACUCU
RNAcentral lists this ribosomal RNA (1466 nucleotides) under uncultured bacterium. RNAcentral describes it as "bacterial SSU rRNA". It matches the Rfam family "Bacterial small subunit ribosomal RNA". The record is from RNAcentral.